AAGACUUUAGUUAAAUUCAUAACAAAGAUUUGUCAAGCCUUAAUUACUAGUUACAGUAAGUCUUA
RNAcentral lists this transfer RNA (65 nucleotides) under Erpobdella testacea. RNAcentral's name for it is "tRNA-Asp". Lineage: Eukaryota; Metazoa; Annelida; Clitellata; Hirudinida; Erpobdellidae. The record is from RNAcentral.